This 73-nucleotide transfer RNA is filed under the name Anguilla anguilla (European eel). Its description in RNAcentral is "tRNA-OTHER". Lineage: Eukaryota; Metazoa; Chordata; Actinopteri; Anguilliformes; Anguillidae. The record is from RNAcentral.
CGGAGUGUAGCACAGUGGGUAAGGAACUGGGCUUGUAAUCGAAAGGUCGCAGGUUCAAUUCCCGGAGCUCCGU